GAGAAUUUAUGUGAGGGAGAAAGAAACGUAUGGUGGAGGAGGUUGAAGGGGUUGGCGUUAAGCAACAGUUAAAAUAGUAACCGCAGAGAGAGAGAAGAGAGAGGGAAGGUUUGGUUUUUUUAGCUUUAGCUUUAGCUUUUGUAUUGAGAGAGAGGGUAGUUUGGAUUUUCAACAGAACGCAAGUAUAGGCAUGUUAGUUGUUGGUGGUGGUGGUGG
This 216-nucleotide unclassified non-coding RNA is filed under the name Hevea brasiliensis (rubber tree). Lineage: Eukaryota; Viridiplantae; Streptophyta; Magnoliopsida; Malpighiales; Euphorbiaceae. The record is from RNAcentral.